RNAcentral lists this ribosomal RNA (250 nucleotides) under uncultured bacterium. Its description in RNAcentral is "partial 16S ribosomal RNA". It matches the Rfam family "Bacterial small subunit ribosomal RNA", at positions 524 to 774 of the family's 1533-position model. The record is from RNAcentral.
UACGAAGGGGGCUAGCGUUGCUCGGAAUCACUGGGCGUAAAGGGUGCGUAGGCGGGUCUUUAAGUCAGGGGUGAAAUCCUGGAGCUCAACUCCAGAACUGCCUUUGAUACUGAGGAUCUUGAGUUCGGAGAGGUGAGUGGAACUGCGAGUGUAGAGGUGAAAUUCGUAGAUAUUAGGAAGAACACCAGUGGCGAAGGCGGCUCACUGGCCCGGUACUGACGCUCAUGUGCGAAAGCGUGGGGAGCAAACA